UGCAUUCACUACUGUAAGUCGCUCUGGAUAAGAGCAUCUGCUAAAUGACUGUAA
Non-coding RNA from Salmo salar (Atlantic salmon), 54 nucleotides. NCBI's taxonomy places the organism in Eukaryota, Metazoa, Chordata, Actinopteri, Salmoniformes, Salmonidae. The record is from Rfam.